Molecule: long non-coding RNA, 5512 nt
Filed under: Homo sapiens (human)
Lineage: Eukaryota; Metazoa; Chordata; Mammalia; Primates; Hominidae
Description: LHRI_LNC1847.3
Source: RNAcentral
CUCAGCUCCCUCGGGCGAUUUCGUGCACGCUAAUGUGCGCCUCUGUGUUUUCCUAAAUGCUGGUUUCUUCAUCAAGCGGCGGAAUAACGCAUCAGGGCAGGUGACCCACGUCACCGGGGUGAUGCACUGGUGCUCGCCGGGGCGGGCGCUGUGCCUGCGGGAGCCGCGCGGCCGGCGCGGUGUCGGGGCGCCUCGUGGGGGCCGAGCCGCGCCCGCACGUCCCUCAGGUAGGCGCGACCAGAGUUUCUUUAGACAGGAUGACCUGGCAGCGUUUCCACCCCACCCACGGCGAGUUUCGCUUUCCUAAUGUGGUUAAAAAGUGCGUUCUAUCUGAAAUAGGGUGGUUGAACAGGUUUCAACAUUUUACUUAAUUUUUUGUUUGUUUUAGAUUUCUUCCUUCUGGUGGGUCUCUUUCUUUUUCUGUCAAGAAGAUGUUCAUAACUGUCCUCUUUGGCAUUUGUUCAAAGUCCAGUUCUAAUAGCUUUUGGACUGUGGUUUAAUUUUAACCAUAAAGCAUUCUUUUGGAAUAAUUGCUUUUGAAUCUGGGAAGAGCCAGCUGGAUACAAGGCCAUAAACACCCCCCUGCGGGGAAUGUACAGGCUUUAAGUUACGUUUUUUUACCACUAGCAUUUCUCUUUAUCUUUUUUCUUUUUUUGGAGACAGGGUCUGGCUCUGUUGCCCAGGCUGGAGUUCAGUGGUACAAUCAGAGCUCACUGCAGCCUCAUCCUCCUGGGCUCCAGCGAUCCUCCCAUCUCAGCCUCCCGAGUAGCUAGCUGGGACCACAGGCACGCAUCACUGGCUAAUUUUUUUUUUUUUUUUUAGAGACAGGGUGUUGCUAUGUUGCCCAGGCUGAUCUCAAACUCCUGGUCUCAAGUGAUCCUCCUGCCUCAGCCUCCCAAAGUGCUGGAAUUACAGGCCUGAGCCACCAUGCCUGGCCUAGCAUAUCUCUUUUUUUAAAAAAAGGAGACUGAUGGGGGUUGGGGGGAUGCAAAUUGUGAGUAGAUAGGUGGGAUUGGAGGAGAGUUUGAACAUCUGCUUUAAUCAACUAAAUGGUGUCUUAGAGCUGUCCUGCGGGCAACCAUGUGGCCUCAGAUUUCUGGGACAAUCUCAAUUUCUGGGACAGAGGACUGGCCCACUGGCCCUUUGUUAGGCUACGCAUCAGACCACCACCAAUUUCCAGUUCUGAAAUUGUGGUCACCAGAGAGACCUAUCAGCAGCCAUAGACAUUAUCUCCUUCGGAAUGACUGGACCCAGGCAGCCAGGCAGAGCUGGGGUCCCCAGAGCUCCUGGCACUAGCCGGAAUAUUUCCAGUUCCUCUUCUUCCCUUACAGCACAAGUCCUUUGGUAAUCAUUGCUCAUAUUUGUAGAACCUUAGAGAAUUUUGGAUGUAGCAGGACAGAAAUUGGUUGCCUGCCAUUUUGUGGCUUGGGUGGCAUACAUCUUGUUUGGCAAUUAAAAAAAAAAGAUGAGAAGAAAAUGGGAUAUGCAAUGGAGACCAAUUCAAGAAAAAGUGAUUUAUGCCAGUCCUAGCUGAGGCAGAUGAAUUUGGGAAGACUUACUUGUUUUCUAGAAAUAGUCUUCACUUGACCAGAGAUUCAUACUUGGGCGUAUUUAAAUACAGAGCUCUUCUGGAGCAUUUGACUAGAAGGACAGAAAACCAGAGACUAAUUAACCAGUUGUUACCAGCGGGAAAUCCGUUUUUGUUUGUUUGUUUGUUUGUUUGUUUUCUUUUUGAGGCGGAGUCUCGCUCUGUCGCCAGGCUGCAGUGGAGUGGCGUGAUUUUGGCUCACUGUGCAAUCUCUGCCUCCUGGGUUCAAACCAUUCUCCUGCCUCAGCCUUCCAAGUAGCUGGGAUUACAGGUGCACUCCACCACACCCAGCUAAUUUUUGUAUUUUUAGUAGAGACGGGGUUUCACCAUGUUGGCCAGGAUGGUCUCAAUCUCCUGAUCUGGUGAUCUGCCUGCCUUGGCCUCCCAAAGUGCUGGGAUUAUAGGCGUGAGCCACUGCGCCAGGCCAAGAGAUCAGUCUUACAUGAAAAUCAAGGGUUCAGUUACCCAGUGGGUCAGUAAGAGAUGAGGCUUUCAUUUAGAAAAACCGGAGCCUGAGGCCGGGCGCGGUGGCUCACGCCUGUAAUUCCAACACUUUUGGAGGCCAAGGCAGGUGGAUCACGAGGUCAGGAGUUCAAGACCAGCCUCGCCAAGAUGGUGAAACCCUGUCUCUACUAAAAAUACAAACAUUAGCUGGGCGCAGUGGCAGGCAGCUGUAAUCCCAGCUACUUGGGAGGCUGAGGCAGGAGAAUCGCUUGAACCUGGGGGGCAGAGAUUGUGCCACUGCACUCCAGCCUGGAUGACAGAGUGAGACUCCAUCUCAAAAAAAAAAUUAAAUUAAAAAUAAAAGUAGAAAAAUUGGAGCCUGUGCAGCUCUCCUGAGGGCAGAUGCAUAAAGCUGGGUGCGCCCCUCCAGCCUGCUGGGUCCCACAGAAGCUCAAGAGGCAGGGGCCAUGUCUUUCACCACUUGUCACUGCUAUAAUUCCCUGUUUAGAACUCUCAGUGAGUGUCAGAUCAACACAUUCAUCCACCAUAUCCCGUGUGUAUAAGAACAAUCCAUCACUCCUGACCUAAUCCAGCACAGAACAGAACUUCUGGAAGAGGACUAAAGAAGAGAAAGAGUGGAAGUGUCACAUGCCCAGAGGAAAAUAGAUGCGACAGAGAUGAAUAAAACAAAACAAAACAAAAGGAAGAAAGCCAAGCUAAUCUGGGAGUUCCAUCACGGCUAAGAACGCAUCUUUGUUUUGUCACGCGGUUUCUAGCCCGGCUCAGACCUGGGCUGCGGCACCUCAGGCAUCUCCUUUCAUCUCUCGGCUUUUCUCCUGGCUCCCGGGCGCUUCUCGAGACUUUUUGGACCUGGACUGGUCCAUGGCAGAACACCUCUUUCCUGAGUCCUCCCUAUGCACCUGCCCAAAGCGGGGGAUUGGGGUGGCACUCUCCAAGAUGCCAGGCUCCUCAAAUGGAGCCAUCACCCCCUAGGCUGUACUUGGCAUUGUCUCCAAGGAGCCUGGGGAGGUAACCGGUUGGGGACUGAUUCACUUGGGAGGGAGGGAGCGAGUGCAGAUUGCAGAUGCUAUCUAGUCGGGCCAAGUCAACCUGGGGAAGGGCAGGUCUGUGUCUCAACUGGUUUAGGGGUGGGAGAGUGGGAUUGGAACUUUUACACCUUGCAUUCUUAGGACGUCACAAUGGUUUUCCCAAGGCCUCCUUAUCUGAGGGUGUUUACCUAUUCAACCAGCAUACGCAGGUUCAGGACUCCCACUUUGUCCGGGUUCUGUCCUCACAGGCACAGGAAGAUUAAUGCGAACAACAGGGUCUGACAAACCAAAACUCACAGAUAAGAGACUUGGGUUAUUAGGGCAGAUGCCAGAAGUCAUGGGAUCUUCACGGGGUGGCUGUAGGCUGAGCAAUCUCCCUCGGGAUGUGAGGGGGUGUAUUUCUGCGUUAUUGGUCAUUGAGAAAUUCCCUAAUCUUAGAGAGAAAAGGAAUGAAACCAAGGGCUUGAAUCGGAGUAUACGUAGUUGACCUAAUUAUAAGGUUGUCCAUCCAUCUGUUUAAUAAAUAGUUCCAUGAUGUGGGACGGCAAGGUCACUCAUAGCCCUGAACAUUAACAACGUUUUCCUAAGGUUCUGGAAAAAAAGUGGUAACCAUGUGUUCAGCUGCAGGCUUGUUCUGUCUCAGGCCUCAGGCUGACAUGAAUCAGAAAUAGAGGGAAAUGUGGAAGUGGCAUUGCAAAUAUUAGUUCUAAAAACGGACUGGGAAGAGAGAGUGCCUCUAGACCCAGUCAUGGCCUAGCCAAGCCCCAGAAGAAUGACAUCACCCAUUGUGCCUCGUGGGGAGCCCCUGAGGCUGUCAUGGAUUUGUAGUCCUAUGUGGGACAGCGCUGCUGACGCGGUUAUUUCCUGCACUAGACCUACCCUGUCAGCAAGACACUGUUUACAUGAGCUGAGUGCCAAGUUGCGGCACAUUAUGCACAAUCGCUUUUAAGUUCAAUUAAAUUAACGUUUAGAAACAUUGUAGAUAGAAAAAGCUAAAGAGCAUUUUAGCAAACAGUGAUUACCUAGAGAUGCAAGUGCUUUGAAUUUGAGCAUUAGAGAACUUGUGAAUUUGUAGGAGUUAAGCAGGACAAGUACCCAUCUAAUGAAUGUUCAUAAGGGAAGCGCGCGUGUAGGAGGCAUUUCAGGUAGCCCAGCGCAGACCAAGGAGGGAAGGAAACAGAUAAGAUGUCAGAAAACAUCUUCAAAUACCCAGAGUUGUUAUCCCCUCCACGAAACAUUGGAGGGCGAAUUGUUUGGGUCAGUAAAAUAGAAUCAUAAAGUGUGAAGAAGAAACCUGUGGAACAUUCUGGAAGAAUUGGUCAGAGAUGGGCCGGGCGUGGUGGCUCACACCUGUAAUCCCAGCACUUUGGGAGGCCGAGGUGGGUGGAUCACCUGAGGUCAGGAAUUCAAGACCAGACUAGCCAACAUGAUGAAACCCCGUCUCUACUAAAAAUACACAAAAUUAGCCGGGCGUUGUGGUGGGCGCCUGUAAUCCUAGCUACUCAGGAGGCGGAGGCAGGAGAAUUGCUUGAACCCGGGAGACAGAUUGCAGUGAGCUGAGAUUGCGCCACUGCAGUCCAGCCUGGGCAACAAGAGCGAAACUCCAUCUCAAAAAAAGAAAAAAAAAAAAAAAGAAUUGGUAAGAGAUGAAUACCCCAUCACAGCCUCUUUGAUUUCAGAGGUGAAAUAGUUGAACCCCAGACCUCACUGUCAGAUGUAAAGAGUCACUCCAAAUUUAUAAGCUCAUUAAACUAGUAUUUCUGACCGUUUACACAUUUGGCUGUAGAGAAAAUACACAGAAUGCUUCCAGCCACACCUAUGCCUACUCAAGCCACUUAGCUGACAAGCCACUUAGCUUUUUCUUCUAAUUACUCGGGUGCGCGUCUCUGUUAUUUACAAAGUUUGGUGAAGUCAGGGCAGGGGGAAUUUAUGGUUCGAUACCCUUUCUAGCACAGAGGGGUAAAAUUCAGCCUGUCUUUUGAAAUCAGUCUGAACUGUCAAACUCCCAGUUGAGGACUCCUCUCCCCAAAUCAGGAAUCUUUUUUGUUUUCUCUGGCUAUGGGCCACAGUCAGGGCUUUGGAGUUCAUUUGUAUGCCCUCCCCCAUCCCCAUUAGUGUUAUUGUGUAUAUUUGAGGUACUUAUUCUUCACUGACCAUAGGUGAAUAGGAGCUGGUUCACCUAAAAGCUCCCACUCCCCAUUCACUUUUUUUUUUUUUUUUUUUUUUUUGAGAUGGAGUCUUGCUCUGUUGCCCAGGCUGGAGUGCAGUGGUGAGAUCUUGGCUCAAUGCAACCUCUGCCUCCCAGGUUCAAGCGAUUCUCCUGCCUCAGCCUCCUGAGUAGCUGGGAUUACAGGCGCCCGCCAGCAAGCCCUGCUAAUUUUUUUGUAUUUUUAGUAGAGAUGGGGUUUCGCCAUGUUGGCCAGGCUGGUCU